Molecule: long non-coding RNA, 894 nt
Organism: Drosophila willistoni
Lineage: Eukaryota; Metazoa; Arthropoda; Insecta; Diptera; Drosophilidae
Exons: 2
Source: RefSeq, a predicted model, not a curated record
CUGAAAAGUGUUUAAAAAUAUAUGGUGGCCCAUUUAAAAAUUGGAAUUUGAUCUUGUUAUAAAAAAAAAAACGGCCCAUUCGAUUAACCCAAUUUUUGAGUACAUUUUCGAUUGUGUGCGGCUCUAUUUCAGCAAUAGCUGCAUGAAUUUCGGUCUUGAGGUCUUGAAUUGUUUCUGGAUUGCUUGCAUAACAUUUAUCUUUCACCGCUCCCCACAGAAAAUAGUCCAAUGGCGUCAAAUUGCAGCUCAGCGGAGGCCAGGUCACAUCACCAUUUUUGCUGAUUAUGCGAUUUUCGAGGAUUGGACGCAGAAUUUCGAUUGUGGCAUGCGCUGUGUGGCACGUUGCGUCAGUCAGUUAACAUUGCGCUCACCAUUGACGGUUACGGUGGCUCCUUCAUCAUUUUCGAAGAAAAAUGGGCCGAUGAUGCCACCAGACCAAAAUCCGUACCAAACAGUGACUUGUUGUGGGUGCAUUGGCUUUCCUACGACGACAUGUGGAUUUUCUGUGCCCCAGAUACGACAAUUUUGCUUGCUAACAUAAACACCGAGAUGAAAAUGUGCUUGAGUUGUAGGCGCAUUUUUUUUUACCAAACUUUUUUUUUAAAAUUUCGCACUGUUUGAAGACUCACCACUUUGGGAAUAAGUUUUUAAUAUUUCCCAACUUUCUUCAAGCGAAUAGCGUCCCAUUUCGUAAAUAUCAAACAUAUAACUAACUAUUUAUGGCGUCACGGAUGACAUUUGACGUUUGACUGUCAUACAAUCCGUCAUUCAAAUUCCAAACACUAGAUGGACCACCCUAUAUAACAAAUUUGAAAAAUGAAGAAAAAUUGAAAUUCUGUUGUCUUUUGAAAAAAAUUGAAAUAAAUCCAUUGCUAAAUUAGUCAGUAAACUUAA